Molecule: ribosomal RNA, 562 nt
Filed under: Paenisporosarcina macmurdoensis
Lineage: Bacteria; Bacillati; Bacillota; Bacilli; Caryophanales; Caryophanaceae
Description: bacterial SSU rRNA
Rfam family: Bacterial small subunit ribosomal RNA
Source: RNAcentral
AGCGGAAAUGAUGAAGAAGCUUGCUUCUUUCGAUUUUAGCGGCGGACGGGUGAGUAACACGUGGGCAACCUACCUUGUAGAUUGGGAUAACUCCGGGAAACCGGGGCUAAUACCGAAUAAUCCAUUUUGCUUCAUGGCAAGAUGUUGAAAGGCGGCUUCGGCUGUCACUACGAGAUGGGCCCGCGGCGUAUUAGCUAGUUGGUAGGGUAAUGGCCUACCAAGGCGACGAUACGUAGCCGACCUGAGAGGGUGAUCGGCCACACUGGGACUGAGACACGGCCCAGACUCCUACGGGAGGCAGCAGUAGGGAAUCUUCCACAAUGGACGAAAGUCUGAUGGAGCAACGCCGCGUGAGUGAAGAAGGUUUUCGGAUCGUAAAACUCUGUUGUAAGGGAAGAACACGUACGAGAGUAACUGCUCGUACCUUGACGGUACCUUAUUAGAAAGCCACGGCUAACUACGUGCCAGCAGCCGCGGUAAUACGUAGGUGGCAAGCGUUGUCCGGAAUUAUUGGGCGUAAAGCGCGCGCAGGCGGUUCUUUAAGUCUGAUGUGAAAGCCCAC